UACGAAGGGUGCAAACGUUGCUCGGAGUCAUUGGGCGUAAAGCGCACGUAGGCGGCUUCGCAAGUCGGAUGUGAAAUCCCUCGGCUCAACCGAGGACGUGCAUACGAAACUGCGGAGCUUGAGUGCUGAAGAGGAUCGCGGAAUUCCCGGUGUAGAGGUGAAAUUCGUAGAUAUCGGGAGGAACACCAGUGGCGAAGGCGGCGAUCUGGGCAGACACUGACGCUGAGGUGCGAAAGCGUGGGGAGCAAACAGG
Molecule: ribosomal RNA, 253 nt
Filed under: uncultured bacterium
Lineage: Bacteria
Description: partial 16S ribosomal RNA
Rfam family: Bacterial small subunit ribosomal RNA
Source: RNAcentral